UGGGGAAUAUUGGACAAUGGGGGCAACCCUGAUCCAGCAAUGCCGCGUGUGUGAAGAAGGUCUUCGGAUUGUAAAGCACUUUCGACGGGGACGAUGAUGACGGUACCCGUAGAAGAAGCCCCGGCUAACUUCGUGCCAGCAGCCGCGGUAAUACGAAGGGGGCUAGCGUUGCUCGGAAUGACUGGGCGUAAAGGGCGUGUAGGCGGUUUACACAGUCAGAUGUGAAAUCCCCGGGCUUAACCUGGGAGCUGCAUUUGAUACGUGUAGACUAGAGUGUGAGAGAGGGUUGUGGAAUUCCCAGUGUAGAGGUGAAAUUCGUAGAUAUUGGGAAGAACACCGGUGGCGAAGGCGGCAACCUGGCUCAUGACUGACGCUGAGGCGCGAAAGCGUGGGGAGC
RNAcentral lists this ribosomal RNA (397 nucleotides) under uncultured bacterium. Its description in RNAcentral is "partial 16S ribosomal RNA". It matches the Rfam family "Bacterial small subunit ribosomal RNA", at positions 355 to 769 of the family's 1533-position model. The record is from RNAcentral.